UACGGAGGGUGCAAGCGUUAUCCGGAAUCACUGGGUUUAAAGGGUGCGUAGGCGGUGUUGUAAGUCAGUCGUGAAAUUCCCCGGCUCAACCGGCGGGACUGCGAUUGAUACUGCGGCACUUGAAUCAGGUUUAGGCAGGCGGAAUGUGACAUGUAGCGGUGAAAUGCUUAGAUAUGUCAUAGAACACCGAUUGCGAAGGCAGCUUGCUGGGCCUUGAUUGACGCUGAGGCACGAAAGCGUGGGGAGCAAACAGG
RNAcentral lists this ribosomal RNA (254 nucleotides) under uncultured bacterium. Its description in RNAcentral is "partial 16S ribosomal RNA". It matches the Rfam family "Bacterial small subunit ribosomal RNA", at positions 524 to 776 of the family's 1533-position model. The record is from RNAcentral.